AGGUGCAAGGAAACACACCUCUAUUAGGAUGGGGUCAGAGUGACUUCAGCAGGAUGUCAAUAUGCAACCAGAUCUCAGAGAUCCCAAUGCUACCUACCACUGGGACAGACAGACAUCAUCCAGACAGUGACAGCAAUAUUGUACGAGAUGUCCAAUUGUGAAAGACUCAGCUAUUCUGAUCAAGACAAUGAUCCAAGACAAUUUCAAAGGACCCAUCAUGGAAAGUGCUAUCCUCCUCCA
This is a non-coding RNA of Phascolarctos cinereus (koala), 240 nucleotides long. The record is from RefSeq and is a predicted model, not a curated record. Lineage: Eukaryota; Metazoa; Chordata; Mammalia; Diprotodontia; Phascolarctidae.